GACGAACGCUGGCGGCGUGCUUAACACAUGCAAGUCGAACGGUAAGGCCCUUCGGGGUACACGAGUGGCGAACGGGUGAGUAACACGUGGGUGAUCUGCCCUGCACUUCGGGAUAAGCCUGGGAAACUGGGUCUAAUACCGGAUAGGACUCCUGGCUUCAUGGUUGGGGGGGAAAGCUUUUGCGGUGUGGGAUGGGCCCGCGGCCUAUCAGCUUGUUGGUGGGGUAAUGGCCUACCAAGGCGACGACGGGUAGCCGGCCUGAGAGGGUGACCGGUCACACUGGGACUGAGAUACGGCCCAGACUCCUACGAGAGGCAGCAGUGGGGAAUAUUGCACAAUGGGCGCAAGCCUGAUGCAGCGACGCCGCGUGAGGGAUGACGGCCUUCGGGUUGUAAACCUCUUUCAGCUAUGACGAAGCGCAAGUGACGGUAGUAGCAGAAGAAGGACCGGCCAACUACGUGCCAGCAGCCGCAGUAA
RNAcentral lists this ribosomal RNA (477 nucleotides) under uncultured bacterium. RNAcentral describes it as "partial 16S ribosomal RNA". It matches the Rfam family "Bacterial small subunit ribosomal RNA", at positions 28 to 523 of the family's 1533-position model. The record is from RNAcentral.